Molecule: ribosomal RNA, 401 nt
Filed under: uncultured bacterium
Lineage: Bacteria
Description: bacterial SSU rRNA
Rfam family: Bacterial small subunit ribosomal RNA
Source: RNAcentral
GGGCCCGCACAAGCGGUGGAGCAUGUGGUUUAAUUCGAUGAUACGCGAGGAACCUUACCAGGGCUUAAAUGGGAGAUGACAGGGGCAGAGACGCCCUUUUCUUCGGACAUCUUUCAAGGUGCUGCAUGGUUGUCGUCAGCUCGUGCCGUGAGGUGUCAGGUUAAGUCCUAUAACGAGCGCAACCCCUACCGUUAGUUGCCAGCGAUUCAAGUCGGGGACUCUAACGGGACUGCCGGUGCAAACCGUGAGGAAGGUGGGGACGACGUCAAAUCAUCACGGCCCUUACGUCCUGGGCUACACACGUGCUACAAUGGUCGGUACAGAGGGAAGCUACCCCGUAAGGGGAGCGGAUCUAUAAAACCGAUCUCAGUUCGGAUUGGAGUCUGCAACUCGACUCCAUG